GUACAGAAGUGGCAUUCAGCCUUUGACAAGCGAAGAGCUACUUUGUCAUCAAACAGAGGCUCACAAAACCAUGAAAGAAUGAACUGAAUUUAAAAUGGAGAAAUGUGCACAGGCAGUUUAUGCGAGAGUUAAUACACUGCUCCAAACAAGUCAGCAAAAUCCACAGCCAGGAACAGUGGUUUUCGGAGCACAGCCAAAGACCCGGACUCAUUGGCUAUCCGUCACCUGUCGCAGAAGACCAGCUCUGUAAACAUGGUAUUCUGGUUUGAAGUGGAAGAAAAUCUUACAAAAUUCUUUUUCUG
Molecule: long non-coding RNA, 302 nt
Organism: Gallus gallus (chicken)
Lineage: Eukaryota; Metazoa; Chordata; Aves; Galliformes; Phasianidae
Source: Ensembl